Varroa destructor (honeybee mite) is the source of this 1218-nucleotide long non-coding RNA. RefSeq lists it as uncharacterized. NCBI's taxonomy places the organism in Eukaryota, Metazoa, Arthropoda, Arachnida, Mesostigmata, Varroidae. The record is from RefSeq and is a predicted model, not a curated record.
UGAAUACGAACCUUUUCAGCUAUUUCCUGGUAUGCGGCCUUAUACUGAGGCGGUAACAGACGAAGUAAGAGGAGAAUUGCAUCUGUUAAUUUCCCAUACAAUGAUUCCAUUGAAAUUAUUACUUGUACAGAUUAGUAUACGACUACGCGCAGCUCGGUGUAACAACGACAAAUUUUGAUUUGAGGUAAUUUUCAUUCGUAAAAACGAUGUGUAUAGCAUUUUGUAGCAGGGAGCUGGACACAAUUCGUAAUAACGUUGAAAAGUUUAUCUAACGAUCAGAAUGGCAUUUAGCAGCAGGGAUAAGCCAUGAAAGAAGCCUAAUCUACAUGCCUGCCAAGGAAAAAGGAUACCGAUCGCAUAGAGUCCAAUUUGACCUAAUAUGCUGCAAUGAAAAAUACCAAUUAGACAAGAAAACACGCUAAGUUUACCGGCGGCAAGCAAUCGUAUGAAACAGUCAGUUGCUGCAAAGAAAAAUUGGAAGGACACAUGGAAAUCGAUGCCGCCAUACACGUGUAAAUUAUAUUAUUAUGUAUGAAAAACAUGAUUACCUGUUCCCUUGAAGAACUUUCCUGAAUGCUGGAGUUCUCGAAACAUUUCCGACAUUGUUCGAAAUUCACUGGGACGAAGACAUUCUGAUGAUCGUCAAAAAAUAAGAGAAGUUGCGUCAACCAAAAAACAUCUACUUUUUAGUGGUGUUUCUUCACAGAAUGUAUUGCUUCAUUGCUAGAGAAAAGAACGGUUCUGUUAUAGCAAACUCUAUUAUUAAACAAAAAGAACACUGCAGAAGGACCAGUUAUGUUCAGGUAAAGAAAUUUAUGUAGGACGUACCUUGUAGAUAGGAUGAUUCAAUAGCCGACAUCGUCGCGCCAUAACCUCUUUGUACGACAACUAGAUAAAAAGUCAAAGUAAGCAAUGCCCUCAUCAUAACUGCACUAUAGACAAGAAGGUGUCGACACCAAGCUAAUAUUACUUAAUAACACGAGAUUUCAUGGAUAUCGACGAGUUUUUUUUUUGUAACUUUUUGUAAAUUUGACCGGUGAAACGAUUCGCUAUAAUGAUGAUGAUUAUCAGAGCUUUCAAAGCUAUAGUAAGUAGGCAGCUAAAUCGCGAGCUGAAGUAAAAUAUCACCGAUUCAGCUCUCUUACACACGCACAUGCGAGUAACUGAUGAAGAACGUUUUGUGUAGCCUUAAUAUCUUGUCGUAUACAUACACUGGGC